RNAcentral lists this long non-coding RNA (3927 nucleotides) under Canis lupus familiaris (dog). Its description in RNAcentral is "lncRNA (ENSCAFG00030004118.1)". Lineage: Eukaryota; Metazoa; Chordata; Mammalia; Carnivora; Canidae. The record is from RNAcentral.
AUGAAUAAAAGGAAUAUCUGCCACAGAGAAAACAAAAAACCCAUGACAGGAGGCAAUUGGUCUGCCUUCUUCUUUAUUGUCACCCAUCAUCUAAUCCUGUGCCUGGUAUGUUUGCAUCUAUCAGAGGAGUGGAUGCAUGUGCGAAACUACUGAGGAAUACAGAUAUGUGAAAACCCUUUCAAUGUUAGGAAUCAGCAAACAUGGAUCACAGGAACUGAGGAAUGGGAGCUGUUGAGAGAGGUAAAUGUUCAAUUUCAGAGGACCACAACUACGAUGUUGAAGAGUUAUAAACAAUAAUUAGCAGGAAGUACAAUGACUAACACAGUGUGUUGAUGAUAAGAGUCUUACGAUGGAAAUAGUUAAUGAUUAAUUUGGUUACAGUAAGUUCUUAGUUAUAUAAACUUGUUUUUUUAAUGGUUUGACUGAACAAUUCAGAAAAUUCUCCUGUUAAUUACCACAUAUUUUUUACUUACUGCUUCAUAGAUAAAAACAUUAACCACAUUUAAGCUUCCUCAAAGACACCAUUCCCCCCAUUGCUCUCUUGUAUAACUUAAAUAUCUUUGCACUUAUGACAUAAACGUCCUUUGCAGGGAUGCCUCGGUGGUUCAGCGAUUGAGUGCCUGCCUUUGCCUCAGGGAGUGAUCCCAGUCCGGGGAUCAAGUUCCACAUCGGGCUCCCUGUGAGGGAGCUUCUCCCUCUGCCUACGUCUCUGCCUUUCUCUCUGUGUGUCUCAUGAAUAAAUAAAUAAAAUCUUUAAAAAAAACAAAAGGCCUUUGCAGUUACAACUCUCCAUACAACUUCUGGUUUGGCUGGUGUAUAAAAUGAAAUUAGGGAGGAGAGUGUGAUCCAAAAUUAAACAGGAGGCAUUACAUUUUCUAUAUAAAUGGUGCUCUAGUUCAGUGUAUGGCUGAAAGGAAUGGCACAUGUACAGAAGACCUCACUCAGUUUACUUCAAAAACUAGCCAGUCAUAAAUUGAAAAACGUCUCAUGGAAUCCAGUAACUUAAUCUUUUAACUGGUGGGACUCCUGGGUGGCUCAGUGGUUGGGCGCAUCUGCCUUCAGCUCAGGUCAUGAUCUUGGAGUACCAGGAUCCGGUCCUACAUGGGGCUCCCUGCAAGGAGCCUGCUUCUCCCUCUGCCUAUGUCUCUGCCUCUCUCUUUCUGUACCUCUCAUGAAUAAAUAAAUAAAAUGUUUAAAAAAUUGUUUUAGUCUUUUUAACUGGUACCUUUUUAUCAUCAUGUAGGAACCAAUGAUUCUAGGAAAAAAAACUUGUGAAAAACAUAAGCUUCUCAUGUAGAAAAUCUAUUGCUAGAGUCAAAGCCACUAAAUUAUGUGUAUGAUCUACAACAAGGCAAAUGUUUUCCAGGGCCUAUGGUGAUUUAUCUUUAUAAUGCCUGAUUGCCUAUUGUGGUAGCCAGCCUCCCAAAUGACUUCCAGUGAUCUUCAUCACACCCAUAUGUAGUUGGAGUUCACACCCAUAUGUAGUCCCCUGUCACAUCGUAUCAGGGCAGAUUUGUGACCAACAGCAUACAACAGAAGUUAUGGUAGAUCCCUUCUGAGAUUAGGUUACUAAAAAGACUAUGGUUUCUUAGAUAAUCAUGCCUUCUUCUUCUUCUCCUUCUCCAUCUCCUCCUUCAUCUCUUUGUAUCUGUCAUCUGGAAUCUCCCACUUGCCAUUAAUAUUAAAUCAGCCUAUGAGGAGGUUCAUGGCCAGAAACUAAAGUCUCUGGCCAACAGACAGUGAGGAAGUGAAGUCUGCCAAUAGCCAUGUGAGUGAACUUGCAAUUAGAUCCUUCAACCUUGUCAAGACUCAAGAUGACUACAGCACCAGCUGGUGUAUUGACUGUAACCUCUAGAGAGAGACCCAGAGCCAGAACCAACCAGGUAAGCUGCUUGCAGAUUUCAGACCCUCAGAAAUUUGUGAGAUAAUAAAUGUUUUAAGCUGCUAAGGUUAAGCAUAAUUUCUUAUACAGAACCUAAUUCAAGAAAUCCUUAGGAGGGUGAAAUAAGAAAAAGAGCUUAGAAAAAUGAUAAUAAAAAUGCUAUCCAACAGCUAACACAUCAUCAUGGCUAAUUCCACCUCCCAUUAACUCUAAUAGUAGACAGAGUGUCUCAAGUGUCUAAAGAGAGAUUUCAGUAUAACAAAUUCAGCUAUGAAUAUGUUCUCCUCAAAUCUCAUAAAAUAAAAGAAAUAUCACAAGCUGUGUUCACUAUUAUAGACAAACUAAAAUUUAUUUUGUUCUGUUUUCAUAAUGAAAAUUAACUGUAAUAAUUUGUUUUUAUAAGAAAAUUUUUUUUAAUGUUUACUUUUCCUCAAUAAAGAUAUAGUACUCUUCAGGACCAAGAAGAUAAUCCUGCUGGAAUAAAAAAAUACUAACGUUAUAUUCAUAAGUUAGCAUUCACUUUAAAAUCGAUCCAGUGUGUGACCAUCUCAUAUGUAGAGCCAGAGAUAUCCCCCAAGAAAUACUUAACUUUUAAAGAAGCUAACAUCUUGGGAUCGUUCUUCCAAACUGAAACUAGUAAUAUCCCUAAUAGUCAGCCUGUAGGAAAAAAGAAAAAAAAAAAAAAAAAAAGAAACAAACAUACUUUAUCUAAAGUAACUUUGGGAUGAAAUAUUUGAUAGUAGUUCAUGCUUUAUAGCUUUAAAUUCCAGGAUUAAUAUAUUUCAGAAAUUAUUUAAACUCCAGGAUUAAUAUAAUUCUAAAAGUAGUUAAAACUAUUUUGGCAAGAGAUGGCCCUCAAAGAUAUUAUACUUCAUUUAGGACUUAUUUGCCACAAGAAAAAAAGUUUUAAAAGAUACAUUUAGAAGAAGUACAAUGUAAUAAAUAAAGAAAUGAAAGUGCUUUAUAAAGCUGUAUAAUAUCAUAUAAAUAACAGGUAUUAUAAUAUUGGCAAUUACGAAAGCAAACCGUAAAAUGCAUUUGGGGGAAAACGUGUACAGUGAGAAAAAUAAAAGCUACAUAAAAGAAUGAGGGAGGAAAUUUAGACUCAGCCGUGUCAAAAGCAAUGUGCUUCUUAACCACUGAAAAAAAGCAUUUCCAUUAGCAGGACAGAUUUAAGUGGUUUAACAUUGGAAGACCAUAAUCUUCUGAGGGACGGAAAUCUAUGAAAAGAUCUGUGAAUAAUAAAGGAAUUGAAAAUAGAAUAAAGGGCAGAGGGAGGACAAGGAGAAGAAAAAUGAGUAAAAGGAUGCUUCUUAACAAUAUAAUUUGAAUUUAAAACUCAGAACAUCUGCUUUUAUAAAAAUCUGAGUGUAUUAGCUUAUAAUAAUUAGCAUCUUCAAUUGCAAGGAAGAAAUAAAAGGACUAUUAGAAGAAAAAAACACACCAUCUUGAGGACAAUAAAGUUUUCUCUGAUUCAAAAGGGGAGCUUCUUACAGUCCAGUAGCAGCUGUAUGUACAUCUUUCAAAGGGCAUUCUUCUGAAGGAAUUUAGAUCAGACAGUCAAUUCUUUUUUGGUAAUAAAAAAUUGUAUCUGUGAAAUGAUAUUUAUUCUCUAUUUGACCUUCUUUUCCAAUCUUACCAUCAUUUAAGAACUUUGCACAAUAAUAAGAAUGAUCUUUUCUGUUAAAAAGUUAAAAUUUUAAUUUCAUAGGCUCUUCCAGCCCAUCAAAGUAUUGUUAGAAAUACUCCUUUUCUAAAAAAGAAAAAUCAAAAGUUUUUGACUUUCCAGUUUUAUUUUUCACUUAAGGAAAUAAAUUCUUCUCUUGGUAAUAAUUACUAACAGAGUAUUUCCUUUCUGUAAUGGCAACUUUUAAGUUGUAUUUUCUAGGAAUUGUGUGAUUUAUUUUUAUUAAUUUCUGGGAAUAAAAUACAUUACUAUAAAUUUCCUUAGAUUCUGGGGAAAAAAUACCUAAUAAUAAUAUUUACUUCCGGAGAAUGUGGUUUUUCCCUUCUUGAUGUAGCAAAAUUCUAUUGCCCUCAGACUC